Thalassophryne amazonica is the source of this 130-nucleotide long non-coding RNA. RefSeq lists it as uncharacterized. The record is from RefSeq and is a predicted model, not a curated record. The transcript has 3 exons. Lineage: Eukaryota; Metazoa; Chordata; Actinopteri; Batrachoidiformes; Batrachoididae.
ACAGCUCCCACUAAAAUUCACGCCCUAGUUUUGACCUUGAAAAAUCAUGUUGCAUGUGCAAACGUCCCCUAUUUGCAUGUUUCCUCCCAGAAGUUUGCAAACUCAGGUGGACAACUCCAAAUUGCAUAUU